RNAcentral lists this ribosomal RNA (478 nucleotides) under Phyllobothrium floraforme. RNAcentral describes it as "partial large subunit ribosomal RNA". Lineage: Eukaryota; Metazoa; Platyhelminthes; Cestoda; Phyllobothriidea; Phyllobothriidae. The record is from RNAcentral.
GGUUUGGUGGGACAWGGUGGUAAGAAUAACUGUGCAAGGCACCGGAGUUAUCGGCCUCAAAUGUGUCYUGUGCCCAUGUUACAAGUGGCACCAGUGGCAGUGUCGUUAUUGUYUGCCCGGUGUUGGGUCUGAUUGUCGUGUCGCCUGCGCAAAGUAGGCCCGGCAGUGGCUUGACUCGGGAUAGGCAGCGGAUGAUGUUGUCAGCACGGGAUGCAGUGGGCCUAAUAGUCAGUGGUGUAGUGGUAGACGAGCUACCCGACCCGUYUUGAAACACGGACCAAGGAGUUUAACAUGUAUGCGAGUCAAUGGGCGUUACGAAACCCAAAGGCGCAGUGAAAGUAAAGCUUCGACUUGUCUCGGAGUAAGGUGAGAUCCUGCUGUUACUCGCAUCAGCCUAAUGUCAGCAUCAGGYUAAAGAGCAGUGGGCGCAUCACCGGCCCGUCCCAUGAUGUGGUCAUUGGWRWUWRSGGKKGKUUCA